UACGGGGGGGGCAAGCGUUGUUCGGAAUUACUGGGCGUAAAGGGCUCGUAGGUGGCCAACUAAGUCAGACGUGAAAUCCCUCGGCUUAACCGGGGAACUGCGUCUGAUACUGGAUGGCUUGAGUUCGGGAGAGGGAUGCGGAAUUCCAGGUGUAGCGGUGAAAUGCGCAGAUAUCAGGAAGAACACCUAUGGCGAAGGCAGCUCUCUGGGACGGUACUGACGCUGAGGAGCGAAAGCGUGGGGAGCGAACAGG
This 253-nucleotide ribosomal RNA is filed under the name uncultured bacterium. Its description in RNAcentral is "partial 16S ribosomal RNA". It matches the Rfam family "Bacterial small subunit ribosomal RNA", at positions 524 to 776 of the family's 1533-position model. The record is from RNAcentral.